UACGUAGGUGACAAGCGUUGUCCGGAUUUACUGGGCGUAAAGGGAGCGUAGGCGGACUUUUAAGUGAGAUGUGAAAUACCCGAGCUCAACUUGGGUGCUGCAUUUCAAACUGGAAGUCUAGAGUGCAGGAGAGGAGAGUGGAAUUCCUAGUGUAGCGGUGAAAUGCGUAGAGAUUAGGAAGAACACCAGUGGCGAAGGCGACUCUCUGGACUGUAACUGACGCUGAGGCUCGAAAGCGUGGGGAGCAAACAGG
Molecule: ribosomal RNA, 253 nt
Filed under: uncultured bacterium
Lineage: Bacteria
Description: partial 16S ribosomal RNA
Rfam family: Bacterial small subunit ribosomal RNA
Source: RNAcentral